RNAcentral lists this ribosomal RNA (255 nucleotides) under uncultured bacterium. Its description in RNAcentral is "partial 16S ribosomal RNA". It matches the Rfam family "Bacterial small subunit ribosomal RNA", at positions 524 to 777 of the family's 1533-position model. The record is from RNAcentral.
GACAGAGGGUGCAAACGUUGUUCGGAAUUACUGGGCGUAAAGCGCGUGUAGGCGGCCAUCUAAGUCGGGCGUGAAAUCCCACGGCUCAACCGUGGAAGUGCACUCGAAACUGGAUGGCUAGAGUCCUGGAGAGGAAGGUGGAAUGCUUGGUGUAGAGGUGAAAUUCGUAGAUAUCAAGCGGAACACCGGUGGCGAAGGCGGCCUUCUGGGACAGUGACUGACGCUGAGACGCGAAAGCGUGGGGAGCAAACAGGG